Molecule: non-coding RNA, 44 nt
Filed under: Trypanosoma brucei brucei
Lineage: Eukaryota; Euglenozoa; Kinetoplastea; Trypanosomatida; Trypanosomatidae
Source: RNAcentral
ACACAAACAAUAAGAUAAAGUUGAAUAGAGAUGUAAGUGAUAUU